RNAcentral lists this ribosomal RNA (478 nucleotides) under uncultured bacterium. Its description in RNAcentral is "partial 16S ribosomal RNA". It matches the Rfam family "Bacterial small subunit ribosomal RNA", at positions 28 to 523 of the family's 1533-position model. The record is from RNAcentral.
GACGAACGCUGGCGGCGUGCUUAACACAUGCAAGUCGAACGGUAAGGCCCUUCGGGGUACACGAGUGGCGAACGGGUGAGUAACACGUGGGUGAUCUGCCCUGCACUUCGGGAUAAGCCUGGGAAACUGGGUCUAAUACCGGAUAGGACUCCGGACUGCAUGGUCUGGGGUGGAAAGCUUUUGCGGUGUGGGAUGGGCCCGCGGCCUAUCAGCUUGGUGUUGGGGUGAUGGCCUACCAAGGCGACGACGGGUAGCCGGCCUGAGAGGGUGACCGGCCCCACUGGGACUGGGAUACGGCCCAGACUCCUACGGGAGGCAGCAGUGGGGAAUAUUGCACAAUGGGCGCAAGCCUGAUGCAGCGACGCCGCGUGAGGGAUGACGGCCUUCGGGUUGUAAACCUCUUUCAGCAUCGACGAAGCGAAAGUGACGGUAGGUGCAGAAGAAGGACCGGCCAACUACGUGCCAGCCGCCGCAGUAA